AGUCGAUUGCCUUUUAAUACAUUUUUUAAACAUAUAUGUAAAAUCUAUCAUACCUUUGACUAUUAUCUGGUGUUUUGGGUUAUAUGCCUUCAUAUCAGAUCGACAAUUUUCAUGCUUGUUUUGUCUGAUUACUGCUGUGGUUUUAAUGUGUUUAGUUUUUUUUAAUCUGAAAUUUGUGUUAUGCUUGUUUUGCAUGAAAUUUUUGUUGACACAUUCUUUGUGGUGCAUAGGAAGAG
This 236-nucleotide unclassified non-coding RNA is filed under the name Hevea brasiliensis (rubber tree). The record is from RNAcentral. Lineage: Eukaryota; Viridiplantae; Streptophyta; Magnoliopsida; Malpighiales; Euphorbiaceae.